CCCUUCACGUAACUCCCUCCCACGGCUGUCCCCGUCAGUGGUUACGAGUCUUAAAUGGGUGGCACUGGGGUUCACCGUGAAGUACCAAGAUCAUUCCAUCACACCUUCUGAAGUUACUUUCACCAACAAAGGCUGGCUUUGGGAUUUUCCCUAUAAAAGCUAAUUCUCAUCUUCCUUAGAAUUCUUAAAUAGCUCAGCAGGUAUUUGUGAUCUGGUAUAAACAAGGAAACCAUUUGCUUCGGAAGAAAUAAAUUUCCUUUAAGUGCGUACACCUUCACAAAACCCAGCCAUUGCUCUCAGCACUUUUUCCCAGCAUUUUGGGGGCCCAUCUACCUCGUCAAAUGCUACACAAAAGACUUUUUUUUCUGGAAACAACUUCCAGCAAGGGAUUAGCACCAGUUCUGAGAUUCCAUUUGUCUUGUUUACAUUCCUUGUGCAAUUUCAGAACACUGUGUUCCCUUUCUUGUAAUUGCACAACAAAGGCCCUGCCACACAGCACUGGAGACUCGUCCCACUCAGCGCCAGGAUUUCCUUCGGGCUGGUAUUCUUUGCAGACGGCUCUGGGACCUCCAGGUGGGCUGGCUCAGGGAAGAGAACAUGGGCUUCAGAGACAGUCCGAUAAACCUGGGCUCAAGGUCUCUGGCUGCAUUUCGUGAUGAACUUGAUUAAUCUGACUCUGGGGCUUUUUUUUUUUUUUUUCUUCUGUAAAAUGGAAACAGUAAAAUUGCAGUCUUUGUGGGAUCACUGUGAAGAUGGACUAAGACAAGACGUGUAGAUCCUUCAGCACAGUGCCGGACAAUCUUAAGUACUCCAAUAAAUGAAGUCAUUAUUUUAAUUACGGUGCUCAGGGACUGUGCAGCGUUCUUUUCUUCAUUGUGAUCUCCAACUCCUAAAGGCUCUGCCUUUGCUUAAAAGUCUCCCAACAAACACGCACAAAUGUUCCACCAGAGGAGGUGCUAAGUGAUAGGAGUCUUGGCUUUCGUAGCUGUUUUUUAGAAUAUUCCAUGGCUUGGCCAAAAAGGCUGUCUUGGUCACUCUUUGAAUCAGUGUUGCUCUCGUAACAUCUCUAGAGACAGAGGGACACCCGACUGUUGAUGGUGAAGAAGCGGGUAUGUGAAGGGAAGAGACGUGGGCCCUGUUAUGAUGAUGACAGGAACACAGUGACCUGAAACAGCUGCUGUGUCUCUCACCCUUUGCGUGGUUGAAGAGGAGAGGGUGUGGCCGCCGAUCAUAGGCUAUUGAAUCCAUUGUCAUCAAACUUCCUGUAUGUGGGGGUUACUCUAUCAGGAUGAAGACCCCAGGCUGGCCCCGAGCAGUCUGAGAGGCCUUCUGUGGCCCUGGAAACACGGAUCGGACUUGAGAGCCAUGCUGCAGACACACAGAAUGAACGUCUCAGGAGGAUGCGUAUGCCCAGCUGGAAAGAAUCUGGAAAACCGACCCCUUAAAAAUUGCAAGCAGGCGUUCCCUGAGAGAGAUUAAACUUAAGUGUGCCUUUGGGGCAGACUGUUCCCACUUACACAGGCCCUCGCCAUGAACCAGAUGGAACACUGUGUGCUGUGCCGGGGCCCUGUCAUUGCCCCCUUUUUGGCGGCACUGACGGAAGGUGGCACGAAGAGGGCAGAAAUGAUUCCUGGCUCCAUGUGGACUUGGAGCGAGUUGCACUGAAACCCCACAGUACUGUUUGGACUGUGUUGGGCAGAGUGACGUGACCCGCAUUCGCCUUCAAGAAGCUCACAGUCUCAUAGGAAAAAAUGGAUCUGCUGACCCAUCAAUCAUCCUGCAUACGAAUGGCCAUGCUACAAACAUGAGUGGGGGGCACAGAGGAAGCAUCCAGGCCAGAAGAGCUCCUGUCCUCUGGGGAGGGCUUCUCGAGAAGGGAGCAAGAGUGAGAGAGGGGGCUGGUCAGGAAAAGCUGCUGAGUGGGUUUUGGCUGAAAUCCUUCUGCCUGGAGCAGAGCGGACCACCCCCCCCCCGCCCCCCGCCCCGGAAGCUGCUCCUGGUCUUCGCACAAAGGAGUUAGCAGACUGUGCCCAUGCCUACACUGGGUACAUUCUUGGGCACUGUUUUGGUGGAGACAUAGAACCCAGGCUUUUGUUGUUGUUUCUGGGGAGGGGAUGUGGAAGUGGACUGAGCAAAAGUGCUUAAGAUAAUAGUCACAAAAGCAGCCAGGAUUCUCUCUUGCGGCCUGUCCCUAGGGAUGGAAACCUGGAGGGGCCUGUGUUCCCAGACACCAGGUUGUAGAGUAAACACAGGAAUGGAAAUAAUGUGGGAGGCAUAUGAGGAAGGGAGAUGGUGACUGGAGAAGAUCAAGAGGAAGCAGGGGUUGGGACUGACUGCCCGAGGGGACGCACACAGUCCUGAGGAGCCCCAGGAAGGUCACACACUGAGGAGGGGGGUGUGUGUGUGACUAAAGGGACACAAGAGGGGCACCCAGGGCGGAACGCUUCGUUGAUUGCAUAACCCUGAGAGUGGAGAGAUGCUUCUUUGCGGCACGGGGGUGGGUGCAUUUGCUUUUCCAGUCACCUGUUGGGCUUGGGUGCCAGCUAAAGAAGGGACUGUGAGGGCUGACUCCUUAUAUGUGGGUAGGAACCCUAUUCAAAGACUUUUUUUUUUCUUCCACCUAUUGUUUCCCUAAGCCUCAUAUCAGCCCUGUGAGAUAGGUGGGGCAGGGAUUAUUGACUCUGCUGCAGGUGAGAAAACAAGAGAGGCUAGGCCGAGGGCCAAGGACACCCGGGUAACAGUGCUUGGCUCCUAUACCCAGGCUGACCCCUUCUUGACCUCCCUUCCCCGAGGGGCUCGUUCCUAGUCCAGUCAUGGUCAAGGAGAUCGAGUGCCUCGCCUUUUUGCAAACUAUGGAAACAGGAUUGGUUAAACUGGCAAGUUACUUUCAGCGAUACCUUAGGGAAACAACACACAGGGAGCAGCAAGUCGAAUGUGUGGAAGUACCCAGUGGAGGGCUUAGAAACAGCGGAACGGAUGUACACGUGACAGCGUGUCUGGGUCUGAAGAAGGCGGUGCUGAGUGAAAAGAGUAAGAAGUAGCAAGAGAUACAUGACACACUUGGCUUCAGGUAAAUUAAAAAUAUGUGCAUAGGGCGCCUGGGUGGCUCAGUUGGUUAAGCGACUGCCUUCAGCUCAGGUCAUGAUCCUGG
This is a long non-coding RNA of Zalophus californianus (California sea lion), 3151 nucleotides long. RefSeq lists it as uncharacterized. NCBI's taxonomy places the organism in Eukaryota, Metazoa, Chordata, Mammalia, Carnivora, Otariidae. The transcript has 4 exons. The record is from RefSeq and is a predicted model, not a curated record.